GUGUUAGUCAAACAGUCGUAAAUCUACGAUGGUGUUUUGAAGUGGUGCUUACAAUCUGUUGUUGUGAUCCGGGUGCUUUGGUUUCUGUUUGAGGUGACCAGAAGCAUCAAUACAGAAUAUGGCCAGGGAUUUCGUGAUCAAAGGGAUGACAAUCCUGCCCCCUUAAUGCCCCAAAUACUGAUGGCAUAAACCCAGGUCAAUGUGUGUAUUGAAGAUAACUACAUAGAAAGUGGGGAUGAUCUUGUAGCCAUCAAGAGUGGUUGGGAUCAAUAUGGAAUCAACAUGGCUAAGCCUAGCACAAACACCAUAGUGAGAAAAAAUUUAGGCACUGCCCCAACUUGCUCUGGAGUAGGAAUAGGCAGUGAAUGUCUGGUGGAAUUUCAAAUAUUAUAAUAAAAAAUUUGCACUUGUGAAACUUUGCAGUGGUGUUUCUUUAAAAUCUGAAAAUGAUGGAGAGGGGUAUCUAACAAAUGUGAGUAUAGGUAAUAUAAGAAUGGGGAGGAUGAAGAUACCAAUUAGGUUCAGUAGAGGUUCGAAUGAGUAUCCUGAUGAUGGGUAGAAUUCAAAAGUUUUUCCUAGAUUUAAAAAUGUUUUAAUCAGCAAUGUGGUCGAUGUAAAUUCAACAAAAAGCUCCGGUUCUGGAAGUUGUAGUAGGCUCAUCAUUUGAAGGCUUGUGCUUCAAGAAUAUUACUCUUCUUGGUGUAGCCUUAUCUACAACAUGACGUUGUGACUAUAUUAAGUGGAGUUGCACCAUAGCUUUAGAGGUUUAACCAAUGAA
Long non-coding RNA from Vicia villosa (hairy vetch), 778 nucleotides. RefSeq lists it as uncharacterized. The transcript has 2 exons. The record is from RefSeq and is a predicted model, not a curated record. Lineage: Eukaryota; Viridiplantae; Streptophyta; Magnoliopsida; Fabales; Fabaceae.